CCAUCAUAAAAUCAAUAUGCCCUGCAGAGGCUGCUACAUGCAAAGGAGUAUGGAAAAAAGCCCCCAUCAUCCUCUCAUCCAUAGCAAGGUGCGGAAAUUUGCACAAUAUAGCAAUGGAGUGAAGAAAAAAGGCUUUAGCAGACGAUUUGAUUAUGUUAAGGGUAUAAUGAAGUGUUUGAUUAUUUUUUCCAGAUGAAUUGUUUGACAUUUUAUAGCACUUAAUUAUUAUUUUGGAUUUAUAUGUGAAUGUCACCUAUUAGAAAGAAA
Gossypium arboreum is the source of this 267-nucleotide long non-coding RNA. RefSeq lists it as uncharacterized. The record is from RefSeq and is a predicted model, not a curated record. The transcript has 2 exons. NCBI's taxonomy places the organism in Eukaryota, Viridiplantae, Streptophyta, Magnoliopsida, Malvales, Malvaceae.